AACAACACCCUCAAUUCCAAAACAAAAAUCAAGAUCCCUCAAAAUUCAACCGUAGGAACUUGAAAAUAAUUUGAGUUCGUAAUCCUCAUUGCGAGAGCUACAAGGAGCACCUAUCAAUCUUACGAAUAGAGUUUUGGAAUCAAGAGUUCAUCUGGAUUCGUAAACUAGAGAUUCAGAGACACGAGUUUCAGAUCAGUAGUAGCAGUUCAAUACCCAGCAAUGAAUCCUCAUAUUCCGAGGAUGGAUUAUUAUUUUAGCACAUUAUUUUAGUUUAUUUUAUUAGACGGAGUUAGUUGGGGACAUGUCCCAUCAACUCUACAGUUCAGACAGUUAGAGGCUUUCCGGACAGUUGUAUAAGUAUUCAGUUUGCAGAAUUAUGUAUUUUAGAUAUUUUGAACCUUA
Long non-coding RNA from Capsicum annuum, 402 nucleotides. RefSeq lists it as uncharacterized. The transcript has 2 exons. The record is from RefSeq and is a predicted model, not a curated record. Lineage: Eukaryota; Viridiplantae; Streptophyta; Magnoliopsida; Solanales; Solanaceae.